CAAGAAGUGAUAAAGAGUAAAAACAAGAUGAAUUUCCUGGAAAGUAUUUUUGCCAGUUGGAAAUAUGCUUUUAUUGCAUUAUAAUUUCCAUGAGGGGUGAAAUACGCAAGUAAAGCAGGCGAACUUAAAGACACUUCUGUAAACAUUUGUCUAUAACUCUAGGCCCUAAUGCAAGGUCUGCAGUUAGUGAUAACAACACAGCUUCACAUUUCCUCAGGAUCUUCUUUUAUGCCGGGCUUGUACUGCUGGUCUAGAACACCUCAAUAACGACUCCCUAAGCUUCAUGGGGAAUUGCUGAGGAAUUUGGUUCUGGAUACAUACCUCAGAGGUGAAACCUGAAAUCCAAACCAAGACUUCCAGACAGUGAGAGGAUAUUACGUUGCAGAAUUUGGUCAGAAUAUGAAGUUUGGAAGACCCUAUAUUCCUGCAGAUCCUUGGAUUGAGGUUAAUUCGAGAGCAAGCCGUGAGUGAGGUAGCCUUUAUUACUCAUCAUGUGUUUAAGAAUGAUGCAAUGAGGCUUUGUUCUCUGCCUAUCUGAAUCACGUGGCCCAAGCAAGAGAUAUCUAUUGAAAUAGCAGAUAGUAGUGUCAUUCCAUUAUAAUUACCAUUAUUUGAGCUUCAGAGAAGUGGCAUUGAAUAACUCAAUUGGAGAAUAUGCAAGUAAAAUUAACAAAACCGUACACUAUUAAAAAAUGACUUGGUAGAUUUCUUCCAGAAAACUUAGAAAACAGAAUCUCAUAGCUCUCUGCAUACUUUAUGUCAGGCCUCUGAGCUCAAGCCUGCACGUAUACAUCCAGAUGGCCUGAAGUAACUGAAGAAUCACAAAAGAAGUGAAAAUGGUCAGUUCCUGCCUUAACUGAUGACAUUACCUUGUGAAAUUCCUUCUCCUGGCUCAUCCUGGCUCAAAAGCUCCCCCACUGAGCACCCUGUGACCCCCAUCCCUGUCCACCAGAGAACAACUCCCUUUGACUGUAAUUUUCCACUACCCACCCAAAUCCUAUAAAAUGGCCCCACCCCUAUCUCCCUUCGCAGACUCUCUUUUUGGACUCAGCCCACUGCACCCAGGUGAAAUAAACAGCCUUGUUGCUCACACAAAGCCUGUUUGGUGCUCUCUUCACACGGACGCGUGUGACACUUC
Molecule: long non-coding RNA, 1138 nt
Filed under: Homo sapiens (human)
Lineage: Eukaryota; Metazoa; Chordata; Mammalia; Primates; Hominidae
Description: HSALNT0036789
Source: RNAcentral